Molecule: long non-coding RNA, 894 nt
Organism: Columba livia (rock pigeon)
Lineage: Eukaryota; Metazoa; Chordata; Aves; Columbiformes; Columbidae
Exons: 3
Source: RefSeq, a predicted model, not a curated record
AGAUAACAAAAACGGGACUCUCGUCGAGACUCCGCCCACUUUGCCGCGGGUCUCUCGGAGCACGAGCAAGAUGCUGCCGCCGAGAGCCCCCCUCCCCGGGAUGGGGACUCCGCUUGCCUCGCCGCCACGGGUAAGAAGAAGAAGAAGAAGAUGAUGAUGCACACCAAAAAGCGACAGAGGAGGUGAACUGAAUGCAGUAAGAAGGGUAUCCAGAAAACUAAGCUACGCUGUGGGUAAAGAUGACAAAUCCCAGCAAUCGCUUGGGUGACUUCCUGGUUGAAACCCACCAAGGAGCAUUCAUGGACUGCUACAGAAAAAACUUUGCUUUAUAAAGUUUGGGUUUGUUUUCUUUUUCUUUCUUCUUCCAAGAAUCAGGGAUGUAUUUUAUGUAUGUGUCAUGCAGUUAGUCCUGUUUUAUGCUUACCUGUAAUGUAAAUCUUCAGGACUGGUUCAUCCCUUCUGACAGGGCGCUUAGUCCUUUGGCUUCAUCAGGUAUUGCAGGGAAUCAGGGUUCCGUUCUAUGGCAAAGUUUAAAUUUUGUAGUUAGUAGUGUUUGUUCUAACAGUGUGAUCAGUAUUUUCUUGUUAUCUGCUAAUAAGCUUUGAUUCUUAACAUAUUAGUCGUAAGAUGAGAAUCAAGCUCUUUUUGCUGGAUUUCUGCCUGUUUGUGCUUUAUAAGGGUAUUGCCACUACAUGAAAAAUUCUAAACUGGGAUGGAUGAUUGAAGUGCAGUAUUAGGCGCUAUGACUUGUUAUAUGCCUGCUAUGUUAAAUUUUCUACAUAGCUCACAGAGUGGAUUUUUCAAUAAAACUUUAUUUGUUUCAGUGAAUUUGACAGUUACAUUCUGUGUUCUGACAAAAUAUAUGUUCUAAAUAAAAAAUCCGUUCUCAACAAA